This is a long non-coding RNA of Aegilops tauschii subsp. strangulata, 586 nucleotides long. RefSeq lists it as uncharacterized. The record is from RefSeq and is a predicted model, not a curated record. NCBI's taxonomy places the organism in Eukaryota, Viridiplantae, Streptophyta, Magnoliopsida, Poales, Poaceae.
UCUCCAGUACGAUACGAGGCGACAGGCGGCGGCGGCGGCGGGCGGCGGUGACGGUCGCUGCAUAACCUACCGGACGGCGGGUGCGUGCUCCCCUCUCCCACCUCUCUGUUGGCGGCUGUGGGAGUCGAAUCCGGACGGUCAGUAAGCACAAUGCCACUAUCAAACGAAGUCUUACCCGCUGUGCUGGCCCCAAAAGUUAUUGCAGCACGUCAUCAGGUCCAUGAGCUCAUUGAUUUAGUAGCAGAGGUUUCGGCCGAAGUCAGGCUUCGACGCUGUGCUAUCGGCGAGCGCAACGCUGGCCAAAUCAUGGGUGCUGGGAACUUGAUGGCUGAGAUUGAGGGGGCCCAUCGAGUUCUUGUGCAUUAAAUACUUCUAUAUCUCAUAGCUAUGUGUUUUUUUCCUUUAAUUGGUAGCCUUUUAAGGAGCUUUUAACAUUAAUUGGUAGACUGAAUUGAUGCACUGUUUCUAUUGCUUAUGUUCUGUAUGCAGUAGGGCAGAGCUGUACAAAUGCUCUUAUUCUUGUAUAGUAGUUUCAUGUUAUCCAGGAAGUACCCUGUCGUGGAAUUGUCACGGCAGAUGUCCUCGA